ACCAUCACACAAACACACACCUGAUCAACAUCAAAACUAAGUGCAUUUUGGAAGACUUGCUUACAGGACAAAAUACCAUCAUCCAGACAAAAUUGACUGGAAGAUGUGAAGGAAAAAAAUACCACGAGUGAAAAUGUAUCUGAACUCACAGAAGCUCAUAAUAGAGUUGAUAUGGAAACAGCAAACAUACAGUAAAUAAAUAAAUAAAUAAAUAAAUAAAGCAUAUGACAGGAUCUCUGAGCGAAGCUGCUGCAGACUGUCUCACAUGUCUACAGUCCAGCACCUGCAGGUCUGGGGGACAGGUAACACUGAGCCACUCUGCAAAUGGGGAUUUCCAAGUCAGUAAGCAGGAAAUGUUGAGGGAAUCACACAGCUCUGGGGCCUCAUGUACAAAAAACAUGGUAUAUACAUAAAUGUAUGAAUAAAAGCAGCAUUCAUUCUUUUUUCACAGAAUGAAUUCCAUCAAAAAUCUCAUCAAAAAUGAGCCCUGCAAUGUGAGCCGCUCCACACCAACUUCAGAGACGCAGUUGUGCUGACAAAACUUCUCCAGAUUCCUAAAAACCACUGGGGUUAGGUUCCGCCCUAAACUUUGCACUAAGCUUCAUUUUUUUCUUUUUUAAAUUUUUUUUGUAGGACAUUGAUGCUUCAGUGAGUCUCUUCGUCAUGGCUUACCUCUAUUUUUCCCCCGUCUAUGUGGAACGGAAAGCCCACCCCUCUGAACCAGGGUCCUACUAAACAACACUGUGGAGAGGUGGUCUUGUUCAACACAGGAGCCGAUCAUUCUAACGAACAGCUGGUUGGCACAGUGCAGAAUGGGAGGGUUCUUGUGAUUCUCCCACGCCUGAGGGUAGAAAGACACGGACCAGGCCAAGAAGUAGAUCCAUCCAAUCACUUCACUGAUCACUGACAGAACCCUGCU
Long non-coding RNA from Austrofundulus limnaeus, 919 nucleotides. RefSeq lists it as uncharacterized. The transcript has 3 exons. The record is from RefSeq and is a predicted model, not a curated record. NCBI's taxonomy places the organism in Eukaryota, Metazoa, Chordata, Actinopteri, Cyprinodontiformes, Rivulidae.